Non-coding RNA from Pelobates cultripes (western spadefoot toad), 153 nucleotides. The record is from the annotation of a GenBank genome assembly. Lineage: Eukaryota; Metazoa; Chordata; Amphibia; Anura; Pelobatidae.
UGUUGCCUAGGGCAGUGUUUCCCAACCCAGUCCUCAAGGCACACCUACCAGUCCAGGAUUUAGGGAUUACCCAGUUGUGUCUAAGGUGUUUUUACAAAGAACUGGUAGGUGUGCCUUGAGGACUGGGUUGGGAAACACUGGCCUAGGGCAGCA